This 334-nucleotide unclassified non-coding RNA is filed under the name soil metagenome. Its description in RNAcentral is "partial contains 5.8S ribosomal RNA, internal transcribed spacer 2, and large subunit ribosomal RNA". The stretch from base 1 to 120 matches the Rfam family "5.8S ribosomal RNA", at positions 35 to 154 of the family's 154-position model. The record is from RNAcentral.
GAUGAAGAACGUAGCGAAAUGCGAUAAGUAGUGUGAAUUGCAGAAUUCAGUGAAUCAUCGAAUCUUUGAACGCACAUUGCGCCCCUUGGUAUUCCAUGGGGCAUGCCUGUUCGAGCGUCAUUUCAACCAUCAAGCCCCAGGCUUGCGUUGGAGCCCUGCGGCUGCCGCAGCCUCCUAAAAGCAGUGGCGGGCUCGCUAUCACACCGAGUGCAGUAGAUUACUCUUCGCUCAGGGCGUGCAGCGGGUUCCGGCCGUGAAACCCCCUACUUUUAAAGGUUGACCUCGGAUCAGGUAGGAAUACCCGCUGAACUUAAGCAUAUCAAUAAGCGGAGGA